RNAcentral lists this ribosomal RNA (253 nucleotides) under uncultured bacterium. RNAcentral's name for it is "partial 16S ribosomal RNA". It matches the Rfam family "Bacterial small subunit ribosomal RNA", at positions 524 to 776 of the family's 1533-position model. The record is from RNAcentral.
UACGUAGGGGGCUAGCGUUGUCCGGAAUUAUUGGGCGUAAAGAGCUCGUAGGCGGUUUGUCGCGUCUGCUGUGAAAACUCGGGGCUUAACUCCGGGCCUGCAGUGGGUACGGGCAGACUAGAGUGCGGUAGGGGAGACUGGAAUUCCUGGUGUAGCGGUGAAAUGCGCAGAUAUCAGGAGGAACACCGGUAGCGAAAGCGGCUCACUGGGUCUUUUCUGACGCUGAGGCACGAAAGCUAGGGUAGCGAACGGG